UACGAAGGUCCCGAGCGUUGUUCGGAAUCACUGGGCGUAAAGGGAGCGUAGGCGGCGCGGUAAGUCAGAUGUGAAAUCCCGGGGCUCAACCCCCGGAACUGCAUCCGAUACUGCCGUGCUAGAGGAUUGGAGAGGUAGCUGGAAUUCUUGGUGUAGCAGUGAAAUGCGUGGAGAUCAAGAGGAACACUCGUGGCGAAAGCGAGCUACUGGACAAUAUCUGACGCUGAGGCUCGAAGGCCAGGGUAGCGAAAGGG
RNAcentral lists this ribosomal RNA (254 nucleotides) under uncultured bacterium. RNAcentral describes it as "partial 16S ribosomal RNA". It matches the Rfam family "Bacterial small subunit ribosomal RNA", at positions 524 to 776 of the family's 1533-position model. The record is from RNAcentral.